CGGACAGAUGGGAGCUUGCUCCCUGAUGUUAGCGGCGGACGGGUGAGUAACACGUGGGUAACCUGCCUGUAAGACUGGGAUAACUCCGGGAAACCGGGGCUAAUACCGGAUGGUUGUUUGAACCGCAUGGUUCAAACAUAAAAGGUGGCUUCGGCUACCACUUACAGAUGGACCCGCGGCGCAUUAGCUAGUUGGUGAGGUAACGGCUCACCAAGGCAACGAUGCGUAGCCGACCUGAGAGGGUGAUCGGCCACACUGGGACUGAGACACGGCCCAGACUCCUACGGGAGGCAGCAGUAGGGAAUCUUCCGCAAUGGACGAAAGUCUGACGGAGCAACGCCGCGUGAGUGAUGAAGGUUUUCGGAUCGUAAAGCUCUGUUGUUAGGGAAGAACAAGUACCGUUCGAAUAGGGCGGUACCUUGACGGUACCUAACCAGAAAGCCACGGCUAACUACGUGCCAGCAGCCGCGGUAAUACGUAGGUGGCAAGCGUUGUCCGGAAUUAUUGCGCGUAAAGGGCUCGCAGGCGGUUUCUUAAGUCUGAUGUGAAAGCCCCCGGCUCAACCGGGGAGGGUCAUUGGAAACUGGGGAACUUGAGUGCAGAAGAGGAGAGUGGAAUUCCACGUGUAGCGGUGAAAUGCGUAGAGAUGUGGAGGAACACCAGUGGCGAAGCGACUCUCUGGUCUGUAACUGACGCUGAGGAGCGAAAGCGUGGGGAGCGAACAGGAUUAGAUACCCUGGUAGUCCACGCCGUAACGAUGAGUGCUAGUGUUAGGGGGUUUCCGCCCCUUAGUGCUGCAGCUACGCAUAGCACUCGCUGGGGAGUACGGUCGCAGACUGAACUCAAGGAUGACGGGGCCGCACAGCGUGAGCAUGUGUUUAUCGAGCACGCGAGACUAACAGUCUGACAUCUCUGACAUCCUAGAGAUAGACGUCCAUCGGGGCAGAUGAAGUGGUGCAUGGUUGUCGUCAGCUCUGUCUGGAAUGUAGCUAAGUCCGCACGAGGCACUGACUAGUGCAGCAUCAUGACCUUAGGA
This 1036-nucleotide ribosomal RNA is filed under the name Bacillus sp. (in: firmicutes). Its description in RNAcentral is "bacterial SSU rRNA". It matches the Rfam family "Bacterial small subunit ribosomal RNA", at positions 67 to 1128 of the family's 1533-position model. The record is from RNAcentral. Lineage: Bacteria; Bacillati; Bacillota; Bacilli; Caryophanales; Bacillaceae.